GACGAACGCUGGCGGCGUGCUUAACACAUGCAAGUCGAACGAGAGCGUAGAGAAAGCUUGCUUUUUCUACAAUCUAGUGGCAAACGGGUGAGUAACGCGUAAACAACCUGCCCUACGGAUGGGGACAACAGCUGGAAACGGCUGCUAAUACCGAAUACGUUCCGAAAGUCGCAUGACUAUCGGAAGAAAGGAUGGCCUCUAUUUAUAAGCUAUCGCCGGAGGAGGGGUUUGCGUCUGAUUAGCUAGUUGGAGGGGUAACGGCCCACCAAGGCGACGAUCAGUAGCCGGUCUGAGAGGAUGAACGGCAACAUUGGACCUGAGACCCGGUCCAGACUCCUACGGGAGGCAGCAGGGGGGAAUCUUCCGCAAUGGGCGAAAGCCUGACGGAGCAACGCCGCGGGAGUGAAGACGGCCUUCGGGUUGUAAAGCUCUGUUAUACGGGACGAAUAAUCUUGUGGUUAAUACCCAUGAGAAGUGACGGUACCGUAAGAGAAAGCCACGGCUAACUACGUG
Molecule: ribosomal RNA, 513 nt
Filed under: uncultured bacterium
Lineage: Bacteria
Description: partial 16S ribosomal RNA
Rfam family: Bacterial small subunit ribosomal RNA
Source: RNAcentral